GUUGAUUUUAAGUUAAGCAUACAUAAACAACUGAAAUUACUACAAAAAGAGUCUCUUGGAGCUAUAGGUUACUAGGAUCAAGUUCCUGUUGCAAAGUGGGAAAUUCCGGAUCUUCUCCUCGCAUUGGGGGCAAUAACAUAAAGGAUGGUUAUCUCCCAAACCGGAUUUGUAUUUAGCAAAUAAGUUUUGAUCCAAAGGGUUCUUGAAAAAUGGUAGUUGCUUCCCAUUAAUGGCUUUAAAC
RNAcentral lists this long non-coding RNA (241 nucleotides) under Vitis vinifera (wine grape). RNAcentral's name for it is "long non-coding RNA (VVIN_LNC007050)". The record is from RNAcentral. Lineage: Eukaryota; Viridiplantae; Streptophyta; Magnoliopsida; Vitales; Vitaceae.